Molecule: ribosomal RNA, 253 nt
Filed under: uncultured bacterium
Lineage: Bacteria
Description: partial 16S ribosomal RNA
Rfam family: Bacterial small subunit ribosomal RNA
Source: RNAcentral
UACGAAGGGUGCAAGCGUUAAUCGGAAUUACUGGGCGUAAAGCGUGCGUAGGCGGUUCGCUGAGUCUGCCGUGAAAGCCCUGGGCUCAACCUGGGAAUGGCGGUGGAUACUGGCGAGCUGGAGUGCGGUAGAGGAGGGUGGAAUUCCCGGUGUAGCGGUGAAAUGCGUAGAGAUCGGGAGGAACAUCAGUGGCGAAGGCGGCCCUCUGGACCAGCACUGACGCUGAGGCACGAAAGCGUGGGGAGCAAACAGG